UUGCAGCCCAGCUUGAGUGGAGCUCUUUUUUAUUGGUGGCUGAGCUUGUCGAAGCCACCAAUAAAAAAAGCGGGAACGGAAGCUGGAAAUAGC
RNAcentral lists this unclassified non-coding RNA (93 nucleotides) under Kaistella antarctica. RNAcentral's name for it is "Chryseobacterium antarcticum Flavo-1 RNA". It matches the Rfam family "Flavo-1 RNA". Lineage: Bacteria; Pseudomonadati; Bacteroidota; Flavobacteriia; Flavobacteriales; Weeksellaceae. The record is from RNAcentral.